This 600-nucleotide ribosomal RNA is filed under the name uncultured fungus. Its description in RNAcentral is "eukaryotic LSU rRNA". The stretch from base 172 to 325 matches the Rfam family "5.8S ribosomal RNA". The record is from RNAcentral. Lineage: Eukaryota; Fungi.
UUGGUUGUCGCUGGCCUUUAUUGGCAUGUGCACGCUUUCUCUUUCAUCCACACACACCUGUGCACCCGUGAGACGGAGAGCUUGCCCUUUAGCGAGGGUGUUUUCUCCGUCUGCCAAUACACAAACUCAUAUCAUAAUUUGAAUGUAAUCGAUGUAACGCAUCUAUAAACUAAGUUUCAACAACGGAUCUCUUGGCUCUCGCAUCGAUGAAGAACGCAGCGAAAUGCGAUAAGUAAUGUGAAUUGCAGAAUUCAGUGAAUCAUCGAAUCUUUGAACGCACCUUGCGCCCCUUGGUAUUCCUUGGAGCAUGCCUGUUUGAGUAUCAUGAAAUUCUCAAAGCAAAUCUUUUGUUAAUUCGAUUGGUUUUGUUUUGGACUUGGAGGCCUUGCGGAUUCACGUCUGCUCCUCUUAAAAACAUUAGCUGGAUCUCAGUGAGCUCGGUUCCACUCGGCGUGAUAAGUAUCACUCGCUGAGGACACCCCUAAAAAAGGUGGCCGGGAUUUGCAGAUGAACCGCUUCUAACAGUCUAUUGAAUUGGACAACAUACUUUAUGAUCUGAUCUCAAAUCAGGUAGGACUACCCGCUGAACUUAAGCAUAUC